GCCCGGGUGGUGAAAUUGGCAAACACGUAUGAUUCAGGUUCAUAUGCCUUCGGGUUUGGGGGUUCAAGUCCCCCCCCGGGCA
This 82-nucleotide transfer RNA is filed under the name Verrucomicrobia bacterium GWC2_42_7. Its description in RNAcentral is "tRNA-Leu". It matches the Rfam family "tRNA". Rfam says of the family: Transfer RNA (tRNA) molecules are approximately 80 nucleotides in length. Their secondary structure includes four short double-helical elements and three loops (D, anti-codon, and T loops). Lineage: Bacteria; Pseudomonadati; Verrucomicrobiota. The record is from RNAcentral.